GGCAAUGUUGCUUUUGGCUGUCCCUGGCUGGUGUCUGUCUUUACCUUGAACUGCCCUAAGAUUAGAAUUUCUUGUAAACGGUGACUUAAUUAUUCGCCUGCAUCCUUUUACAACGUCGGGCUGCUUCCCCCUGUGCUCAGGGAGUUGCCUCUCUGGCUGCUGCUUAGAGUGGACUGGAAUUGACUUGUCUGACUGCUCUUUUUGAGGGCAUUAUCUCCAGUCCCUGAAGGCAAGAAAAGUGGCCAGAAUGAAGCACAUCCGAGAAUGAAAAAGAGAAGGUCACCACGAAAAGCUUCAGCAGCAAACCAGUGAACUAGCUGCAGAUGAAAGGGAAUUCCAGUCUGACUCAUCAUGGGAUCAAGUUGUUUCCCAGGCAUUCGCCCCAUGUGUGGACUGCAGGGAUAAUGUGUCUCUGGACAGAAGUCUCUCUCGUUUGACUGCUGUGGAUUCCCGCAGACUCUAGAACACCAGUCUCCCUCCUCUCCUGGCCAUCCUGCAGGGAGCCACCCUUGUAGUCUUUCUAGAACCCACAUGUCAUGCUCAUGCUGAAUAACACCCAUGAGUUCUCCAGUGUCAUCAAGAUGAAAUCCAAGCUCCAGUGCAUGGCCCUCUGCCCUCCGGACCGGGCCUGACUCUCCUCCUUUCUCUCCCCACAUCAAUCCAGGGCUCCCUGGAAUCACCAUGCUGCUUUUGUCUUUCUGCCUCAGCCUGGGCUGCAGCUUUAGCCAGGACACGUUCUCUGCCUUUUUCUUAUUCAUUUACCAGGAAAACUUCUAGUUUCCUUGAAGACUCACUUCAAGGCUCUCUUUCUCCUGGAAACUUGGUUUCCUCCCAGACAGAAUUCACUGCUCUUCGUCUGAGAUCCUGUAACACCUUACACAUAUCACCAUCUUGGCUCCAACCUCCUGGCUUUGUAAUUAUUCCUGAUUUGUCUCUCCCAGUAGCCCACUAUCCUCAAGGAGAAGGCCGAGGCUUAUUCUUGGUUGAGUUCCCAGUUACAUGUUAACGUGUGAAUGAGUGAAUGAAUGCACCUUGAAUGCCUCCAUCCUUUCCAAAGACAUUGGAAAUGUCUCUCCUCUGAGAGAAUUCUUGCCUCACGUGUGAAUCAGAGCCUGACAAAUCAUUUAUUUCUUCGGCCUGGCAUCCUACCUACCGAAUGGCAUGGGCUUGCUCUUGCAGCCCCAAGCAGAAGCUCUUUUGUCCACACUUCCUUUCUUGUUGUUUUAGCUUCCUUUCCCUUCACUGCUAGACUGUGAGCUUUUUAAGGGCGGGGCCACAUCCUGCUCAUUUACACCCUUGCGUCCCAGCAUCUAGCCUGGUGACAGAGCAGAACGUGGCUCUCCUUCAGACCAAGCUUACUCUCGUCUUUAAAUUGUUGCAGAAGGACAAGGGAGCAGACUAAAAGGAGCCAGAGAUGAAAUGGUACGCUUGCCUCUUCCAUCAUCAGAUGUUGUGAACUGACAACGUAAAUAUUCAGGCACCUCCAGCAUCUCUUGCCCAGCUGCUCUCUGCCUAGUGCAGGUGACCCAGUCCAACUCCUCUCAAUUUGCCUGCCUUUCCGCUCUCUCUUUCAUCUUCUUCUUCCUUUUCUAAAAGCAGGCACUGCAAUAAAUUAAACUUUCAUGGUUCCAUUCCCUCUUUUCCCAUUGAGGAACCCUAACAUAUUUCCUUAAGGAAAUACUUUGGAAAUUGUAAUUGAAACACAAUAAUUCAUAACGGAAGCGGGAGGAGGAGAGUAAUAGAUUUAGCUCUUGUUUCUGGUGGCAGACAUGUUAAUUACAUUUUCUAUUUCCUCUCAUUACCAGGGAGCAUGUCUCCAACAGGCCAGCCUGCUACUCUCCCUCCUCUCCAGCCAGCCCCACCCUGCUUCACACCCUCAGUGGGCCUGGAGGCAAGUGGAAUGCACAACUGACCAUGUCACUGUUUUGUUCUGAGCUCCUUGGAAGAGUUACAACCCAGCAACUCAGGUCCAGUUUCCUUAGUGGGAAUCAGAGAGCCCCAAACUCUACUCUCCUACCUUAAGGGACAGCCAGACUGAGAUCUCUGAAUUCACAUAGCCUCUUCUUGCUUCUGGGAGUCUCCAUAUGCCACCGAGGCCCCCGUUUCCCCUGGAGUGAGUCAGGAGGACCACUACUGCCUACCUGCUUGUGCAUCUGCCAGUAACACCUGCUCCCCUAUCUGUCCUGUCUCACUGCCCUUUCUAGUAACAUUGCCUCGGCCGGAGAAGGCAGAAUGUGUGGCUCCUGACUCCUCUGCAUUCCUGUUGUCCCUUUCACACUCAUGAUGCCAUAGUAUGAUUGUCUUUUACUCUCCAUCUCUUUAUCCCCUGCCUCAACCCCUCCCAGUGACACACAAAAAAGUAUGAGAAACUGGAAGCAUUGGGAGGGCAGGGCAUUUAUCAGGAAAUUUAUCAAUUUCUGAACUAUGUAGUACAGUGCCUGGUUCAGAACAAAUUCUCAACAAAAUAUUUGAAUAAUGUACGUCUAGGCAGACUUCUUGGAUCGAGACUCUCUGACUAGUGGGUGGGGAGUGGAGUCCUCAGGGUCCUUUUCUGCUGACAUAAAUCUUCUCUGCGUAGUAAAUCCUAGAGCAAGUGUACUUUCUGCAGCUUAGCUGCACAGUCAUGUCAGUGCCUGAGCCAAAAGAAACGAUGGAAAAAUGUGUGCCCCAUACAUACUUAUGAAAAUAUUCUACCAUAUUUUGAUCCAUAUAGAAAAAGCUAAAAAAGAUUUGAAAUUUUAUGAAAAUGACUUUACAAAAGCCCUGUAUUGUCCAGUCUGUUCUUGCGCCGUGCUUAACCCUCCUCCUAAGCUCACCCAGGAGGGACUGUGAGGACCACGAAGCCUUGGAACCAUGGACUGACGAGAAAUGAUUGUUCCCACUGCACAAUGAGGCAGGGCUACAAAGUAUGACAACAGCCUGGUUUUAAAAAACACAAAAUUCAAUAUUAUAUUUAUCUUGGAGUUUUGAAUUAAUUUUGAUUUUUUGUUUGUUUGUUUUUGAGAUGGAGUCUCGCUCUGUUGCCCACACCGGAGUGCAAUGGCACGAUCUUGGCUCACUGCAACCUCCACCUCCUGGGUUCAAGCAAUUCUCCUGCCUCAGUCUCCAGAGUAGCUGGGAUUACAGGCACCUGCCACCAUGCCCGGCUAAUUUUUUUUUUUUUUUUUAGUAGAGAUAGGUCUUGCCAUGUUGGCCAGGCCAGUCUCAAACUCCUGACCUUUAGUGAUCCAAACUGCUGGGAUUACAAGUGUGAGCCACUGCGCCUGGCCAUAACGUUGACUUUUUUUUUUAAUAUGCCACAUUCAAAUAUUUAUCUUGAUUUCUGAGUUUUUGGCAUACUUAAAAUUCACACCCAAGACAAAUGUUUUACUUACCUCACUCUAAUGCCAAUCCUGCCCUUAAGGGACUUCAAAGGGAACUCCUCCCACUUCUCUCCUCCUCCUCUGAGCUCCCUUUCCUCAAAGAGCAUCCAGUCCAAUGGGGACGUGAACACAUCAACACUCAACUCCAUUAUAUCACAUGGUAAGGUGAAUGAAUACAACAAAAAUAGGCGUAACUGAAGUGCAGGUGUAAGCUGAGAAGGGCAGGGCUAAACACGACUGUACAUUUGGGAAGCCUGGAGGCAGAAUGAGGCAAUGGUAAAGGCCCUGAAAGAUAAGUAGAUUUCUAAUAAAUAAAGAAGUGUAAAAUGCAUUCUGAGCAGAAGCCGUAGAUGAACAAAAGCUUAGAGGCAUUGUGUUAAGUGAAAUAAGCCAGACACAGAGAGACAAAUAUCGCACGGUCUCAUUGAAACGUGGAAUCAAAAACACUCAAACUCGCAGGAACAGAGCAGAAUGGUGAUUUCCUGGGGCUGAUGGGGGUUGAUGAGAGAUGGUCAAAGAGUACCAAGUUUCUUUUAUGCAAGAUAAGUAAGUUCUGGAGGUCUACUAUACGGCAGUACCCACAGUUAACGAUACUGUUUGUAUACUUACUCUAUGUUAAGAAGGUAGAUCUUUUAUUAAGUGUUCUUAGCUCAGAAAAUGAAACAAAGAAAAUCCAAUAAUAAUAAUGAUA
Long non-coding RNA from Homo sapiens (human), 4053 nucleotides. RefSeq lists it as uncharacterized. Lineage: Eukaryota; Metazoa; Chordata; Mammalia; Primates; Hominidae. The record is from RefSeq and is a predicted model, not a curated record. The transcript is spliced from 3 exons.